This is a non-coding RNA of Petromyzon marinus (sea lamprey), 365 nucleotides long. The record is from RefSeq and is a predicted model, not a curated record. Lineage: Eukaryota; Metazoa; Chordata; Hyperoartia; Petromyzontiformes; Petromyzontidae.
GGAAAGCCAGCAUAUUGUCUGCCCGGUUGUUCAAGAGGACUGCAGAAACAAGGACCACAAAGAAAAGUAAAGUAUUCAAAGCUGGUCUCUUGCUGGUCAAUAGCUUUCAAUGACAUCACACCUGAGAUGCUGAGGUCCUGCAGAGCCUUUGUCGGGAGAGCUUCACGCAGGAGGCACCCUCGAUGGUAGAAGCCGAUCCAGUUCUUCGGGUCCAAGCGGAUGCUCAACGUAAAGUCUUUGAUUGCCUCCUUGUAGCAAUUCACACUGGCAUACGCUAUUCCUCGAUGUGUACUGGAAAUAAUAAAAUAGAAUUUAAAGCCCUUCGUUAAGCCAUUGCUGGUUGAAGGCCUCCCCAUGUCGUGUAG